RNAcentral lists this ribosomal RNA (442 nucleotides) under uncultured bacterium. RNAcentral describes it as "partial 16S ribosomal RNA". It matches the Rfam family "Bacterial small subunit ribosomal RNA", at positions 338 to 795 of the family's 1533-position model. The record is from RNAcentral.
CCUACGGGAGGCUGCAGUGGGGAAUAUUGGGCAAUGGGCGCAAGCCUGACCCAGCCACGCCGCGUGAAGGAAGAAGGCCCUCGGGUUGUAAACUUCCUUUUAGAGGGAAGAGCAGAAGACGGUACCUGACUAAGAAGCCCCGGCUAACUACGGGCCAGCAGCCGCGGUAAUACGGAGGGGGCAAGCGUUAUCCGGAUUUACUGGGUGUAAAGGGAGCGUAGACGGCGGUGCAAGCCAGAUGUGAAAGCUUGGGGCUCAACCCCAGGACUGCAUUUGGCACUGUUGACCUUGAGUACAGGAGAGGUAAGCGGAAUUCGUGGUGUAGCGGUGAAAUGCGUAGAUAUUAGGAAGAACUCCGGUGGCGAAGGCAGCUUACUGGACUGUAACUGACGUUGAGGCUCGAAAGCGUGGGGAUCAAACAGGAUUAGAUACCCGGGUAGUC